UGUAUCACCACCAGAGUGGAACCCAUCCGAUAGUGAUGUAUCACUGGAGGCAAGUACUUGCGAGGCACUACAAAGAAAAACAGAGAGAAUGAUUGCUGCCUCUCACGUGAAUUCACGUCAUCCUCACACAAAUCACCCAGAACGUCCGCGAGUGGGAGGACAUUUCUUUUUUUAUUUGAUUGAAAUGCUUUUUCGCUUGGCUGAACUUUACGUUAUCAGUCGUCCCCAUCGAGGUCAGGUGAAACUGGGCAAAUACAUUCACACACAGUCACACACUCAUAUGAGAGGAAACCCAAGCAUUUAUUUAUAGUAGUAACACAAGAUUGAAGCCCAAGAUAAAGACGGUUGUUAUUCUGGCCAAUCAGCUGCGAUUUCCUUCCUUGAGACGACUCGCCCAUAAUUGGAUCGAAAAAAGUCCGAUCUUAAUAUCAUCGGUAAAUCUGUCGAGGUUUUUAUUUUUGGAUGUCGAAAAUAUAAACAAAAAUGGAAUAGAUAAUAAAAUUUUAAAUCGUUUGAAGGGAU
Molecule: long non-coding RNA, 522 nt
Organism: Daphnia pulicaria
Lineage: Eukaryota; Metazoa; Arthropoda; Branchiopoda; Diplostraca; Daphniidae
Exons: 3
Source: RefSeq, a predicted model, not a curated record